Molecule: ribosomal RNA, 223 nt
Filed under: uncultured bacterium
Lineage: Bacteria
Description: partial 16S ribosomal RNA
Rfam family: Bacterial small subunit ribosomal RNA
Source: RNAcentral
CGUAGGUAACCUGCCUGGUAGCGGGGGAUAACUAUUGGAAACGAUAGCUAAUACCGCAUAAUAGCAGUUAUUGCAUGAUAACUGUUUGAAAGGUGCAAUUGCAUCACUACCAGAUGGACCUGCGUUGUAUUAGCUAGUUGGUGGGGUAACGGCUCACCAAGGCGACGAUACAUAGCCGACCUGAGAGGGUGAUCGGCCACACUGGGACUGAGACACGGCCCAG